This 464-nucleotide ribosomal RNA is filed under the name uncultured bacterium. RNAcentral's name for it is "partial 16S ribosomal RNA". It matches the Rfam family "Bacterial small subunit ribosomal RNA", at positions 339 to 795 of the family's 1533-position model. The record is from RNAcentral.
CUACGGGAGGCUGCAGUGAGGAAUUUUGCGCAAUGGGGGAAACCCUGACGCAGCAACGCCGCGUGAGUGAUGAAGGCCCUCGGGUCGUAAAGCUCUGUCAAGUGGGAAGAAUCUAUCGAUAUUGAAUAGAUAUUGAUACUGACGGUACCACAAGAGGAAGCACCGGCUAACCCCGUGCCAGCAGCCGCGGUAAUAUGGGGGGUGCAAGCGUUAUUCGGAAUCAUUGGGCGUAAAGGGCGCGCAGGCGGCCUUGUCAGUCAGAUGUGAAAGCCCGGGGCUCAACCCCGGAAGUGCAUUUGAAACUAUGAGGCUUGAGUAUGGGAGAGGGAAGUGGAAUUCCUGGUGUAGCGGUGAAAUGCGUAGAUAUCAGGAGGAACACCGGUGGCGAAGGCGACUUCCUGGACCAAUACUGACGCUGAGGCGCGAAGGCGUGGGGAGCAAACAGGAUUAGUACCCUUGUAGUC